AACUUUCGACAAUGGAUCACUUGGCUCUCGCAUCGAUGAAGAACGCUGCGAAAUGCGAUAAGUAAUGUGAAUUGCAGAAUUCAGUGAAUCAUCGAAUCUUUGAACGCACCUUGCGCUCCUUGGUAUUCCGAGGAGCAUGCCUGUUUGAGUGUCAUUAAAUUCUCAACCUUCCAACUUUUAUUAGCUUGGAUAGGCUUGGAUUUGGGGGUUGCAGGCUUCAUCAAUGAGGUCAGCUCUUCUUAAAUGCAUUAGCGGAACUUUUGUGGACCGUCUAUUGGUGUGAUAAUUAUCUACGCCGUGGAUGAGAAACAGCUUUAUCAAGUUCAGCUUCUAACCGUCCAUUGACUUGGACAAUUUUGACAAUUUGACCUCAAAUCAGGUAGGACUACCCGCUGAACUUAAGCAUAUCAAUAAGCGGAGGCU
RNAcentral lists this unclassified non-coding RNA (423 nucleotides) under uncultured Tricholomataceae. RNAcentral's name for it is "sequence contains ITS2". The stretch from base 1 to 154 matches the Rfam family "5.8S ribosomal RNA". The record is from RNAcentral. Lineage: Eukaryota; Fungi; Basidiomycota; Agaricomycetes; Agaricales; Tricholomataceae.